UACGGGGGGGGCAAGCGUUGUUCGGAAUUACUGGGCGUAAAGGGCAAGUAGGCGGCCAACUAAGUCGGAUGUGAAAUCCCCAGGCUCAACUUGGGAACUGCAUCCGAUACUGGAUGGCUUGAAUUCGGGAGAGGGAUGCAGAAUUCCAGGUGUAGCGGUGAAAUGCGUAGAUAUCUGGAGGAAUACCGGUGGCGAAGGCGGCAUCCUGGACCGACAUUGACGCUGAACGGCGAAAGCUAGGGGAGCAAACGGG
RNAcentral lists this ribosomal RNA (253 nucleotides) under uncultured bacterium. RNAcentral's name for it is "partial 16S ribosomal RNA". It matches the Rfam family "Bacterial small subunit ribosomal RNA", at positions 524 to 776 of the family's 1533-position model. The record is from RNAcentral.